GUGUGCUCGCUUUGGCGCACAUAUACUAAAACUGGAAUGAUACAGAGGUUAGCAUGGCCCCUGUGCAAGGAUGACAUGCAAAUUCAUGAUGUGUUCUGUAAUUUU
This is a small nuclear RNA of Lepus europaeus (European hare), 105 nucleotides long. The record is from RefSeq and is a predicted model, not a curated record. NCBI's taxonomy places the organism in Eukaryota, Metazoa, Chordata, Mammalia, Lagomorpha, Leporidae.